CCGAAUUGCAACAAUGAAUAUCAAGCUUGCGUGUAUGCUCGUUUGCGCCCUUGUAGCAAUGGUGCGUAGUGCAGCCAAAAACGACGUUGAAGAAGCACGGCGGUUCCUUUUCGACUGCGAUUACCGGUGCACUCACGGGGGUUGUUACGGACAAGAAGGGAGAUGCCUUGGUGCAUGCUAUUGCUACGGCUCCGGAUACGAGUACCGCUGCAGGUCAUGUGACCUAUAGUUAUGUAUUGUGCAUGCACUGAUCUGUACAGAAUACAAUAAUCUAAAACUAUCAAUUU
Dreissena polymorpha is the source of this 287-nucleotide long non-coding RNA. RefSeq lists it as uncharacterized. The transcript is spliced from 3 exons. The record is from RefSeq and is a predicted model, not a curated record. Lineage: Eukaryota; Metazoa; Mollusca; Bivalvia; Myida; Dreissenidae.